CCGCCAGCUUUCUGAGCUUUGGGAAAAGACCUAGGGGCGGAGCGCGGCUGGACGGCGGGUACGCGUGCGUAGUGCUUGACCACGCCCCCUGGAGCAUCGAAGCUCCCAUUGGUCCGAGGGCGGAGGCGUGUCCCUGGAGCCAAUCAGAGGAGGCAGCUCUGCCCCGCCCCCGGCCUUGGGGGUCUCGCCUCUGCCCCGGCGACCCCGGAGGGGUCCAGCCCAGCCGGGGUGGGGGUCGUUCCUGCUGCGUCAUCCCCGGGGAGGUCGGCGCUGUCUGUGUCGCAGGACUAGGAGUCGGGAGCUCCCGAUGGCCUCGCGGCGCCUCCCCUCCGGCUCUGCCAGGUAUCCUGGAUGCUAACCCAGUCAUCACAUUUGGCGCCUGAGCGUGGGACCCGAGGACCCUAACUUCACUGAAGAAGUCUCCGGUGACCAGGAAAUAGGGGAUUAGUGACCUUCCGGGACGUGGCUGUGGACUUUACCCCGGAGGAGUAGGGGCACCUGGACCUGGCCCAGGAGGAGCUGGACUGGGAGGUGAUGCUGGAGAACUACCGGAACCUGACCUGCCUGGGGCUUACUGUCUCCAGUCCCCAUGUGGUCUGCCAGCUGCAGCAAGGGGAAGGACUGUGGGUGCCUGAGGGAGACUCCCCAGGAAGCAGCCAUGUUGGUAAGGGAACUACACCCAAAAACAAGGAGCCAUCAUUGAAGCUGGGUCUUGUUGUUGGAGAAUCACUUUGGGAAGGACUAAUGGAGCACAGUCCCCAUGUCUUCAGGAUGGGAGAAGCCUGGAAACUGGAGACCACUUUAGAGAAACAGCAAGACAUAGAGGAGAAGGGUCUUCAUAAAUGGCACUUACCUAAAAAGGAAAAGCAUAAUACAUGUUGGAAACUGUGAUGAUAACUUGGGCUUUACUGAAUAUCAUACUGCAAAGAAACCAUAUGAAUGCCAUGAAUGCAGGUAGGCCUUCCCAUGGCCUUCCCAGCUUGCUGAACAUCAGCUAAUUCAUGCAAGGGAGAAAUCUUAUGAAUGUGAGGUAUGUGAGAAGGCCUUCUGCUGAAAUUCACAGCUUAUUCAACAUCAGAGAAUUCACACUGGAGAGAAGCCUUAUGAGUGUAAUGAAUGCGGGAAAGCUUUCAGCCAUAGCACACAACUCAAUCGACAUCAGAGAAUUCACACCAAAGAGAAACCAUAUGAAUGCAAUGAAUGUGAGAAGACCUUUCAUCAGAGAGCGCACCUUACAUAACAUCAUACUGUUCAUAAUGGAGAGAAGCCUUAUGAAUGCAAUGAAUGUGGAAAAGCUUUUAGGCAAAGCGUAGGACCUAUAGGACAUCUGAGAAUACACACUGGGGAGAAGCCUUAUGAAUGCAAAGAAUGUGGGAAGACCUUCCGCCUGAUAACAGGACUUAUUGAACAUCAGCAAAUUCACCUGGGAGAAAACCCUAUGAAUGUAACCAUUGCGGGAAGGCCUUCACCAAGCAUACACAGCUUAACAGAUAUCAUAAAAUUCACACUGCAGAGAAACCUUAUAAAUGCAACAAAUGUGGGAAGGCCUUUGGGCAGAAAGCACACCUUACUCAACACCAGACUGUUCAUAUUGGUGAGAAGCCUUAUGAAUGUAAUGUAUGUGGAAAAGGUUUUAGCCAAAGAACAGGACUUAAUGGACACCUGAGAAUUCAUAUUGGAGAGGAACUUUAUGCAGUGUAAUAAAAUUGUGAAAACCUU
Sarcophilus harrisii (Tasmanian devil) is the source of this 1719-nucleotide long non-coding RNA. RefSeq lists it as uncharacterized. Lineage: Eukaryota; Metazoa; Chordata; Mammalia; Dasyuromorphia; Dasyuridae. The transcript has 5 exons. The record is from RefSeq and is a predicted model, not a curated record.